Long non-coding RNA from Chinchilla lanigera (long-tailed chinchilla), 1489 nucleotides. RefSeq lists it as uncharacterized. The record is from RefSeq and is a predicted model, not a curated record. Lineage: Eukaryota; Metazoa; Chordata; Mammalia; Rodentia; Chinchillidae. The transcript is spliced from 4 exons.
AGAGCCUGGGCGGGAUUUUCUCCUGGGAGCAGUGUCACCAGACAGAUCCCACGAUAGCCAACACCUUUCUGGGCAGACCUAUGAGACCAGGAUCAAGUUUCUCCCUCAGCGUGUCCUAGAGGGUGGCACAUCUAACACUGCGAUGCAUGAGGGGUUGGGCUGCAAAGAGCAACAGAAAACUGGGAUGGUAAGGAGCUGACCCUCAAGAAAGAGGAACCUCAGUCACAUAACUGCAAGGAACUGAAUUCCACUAACAGCCGCAAGAAAGUGGACCUUGAGGUCUAGAAAGGAACAUGGCCCAGUGACACCUUACCACAGCCUGUAGGACCCUGAGCGGAGGGCCAGCUGGGCUGGACUAGACUGCUGACCUUGGAGAUGGUCCCUUGGAGGAGUGAGGGUGAGGCCAUGACACUGGCCUGAAAUCCAGCUCUGCUCAGAGACCUCAGCUCAGCCCUGGAACCCUCCUAUUCCAUUUGGCACAGCUGGGCACCCCUUCACUCGACUGAAUUUCUUUUGCUUCUAUUUCCUUAUCCUUUAUUAUCAGUUAUUCUAUGGAAGGGACUAAUGAAAAUAUGCCAUUUAGCUAUAAAGAUACAUCAGCUUUAGGUUCAUAUAAUUAUUAAAAGAAAAGUGCAUAAAUGCACAUUAAAGUUAUUGUCCAGACCUAGUGAACUAAGAAAACGCUGAAGGUGGAAGGCGAGGUGGAACCCUUCUGGAAUGCAGCCUCUUAUAAAAACUGAUCUGCUACAAGAAAGGACAUGUUAUGUAUUUGAGCUGAGUUAGGUGUCAUUCUAUUUAUUUAAAUAUUUUCUAUAAAAUCACAUUUUUUAGGAUUUUCACAUAUGUACUAAAAUCAGAAUAAACUUGCCACUUUUUAUGUCCAUUAAACUUUAUCUUAUAAACAGGAAUUGAAGUGUCUGUCUUACUGACAUAAGCCUCUAAACUGCAGUCAACAAGGAUGUCCUAGACCUGGAGUUUAAUCUAUACCUUGUCCUGUGUUAACAGUUUGAAGGUACUUUACUUAAGUCCUAUCAUUUUUAAUUUAAUGAAUAAAAAUGUCCAAAAGGUAUUAGAAGAUGUGAUGUGCUUUAUAGGAAGUAAUAUCACUUAUGUGGCACUCUUGCCCAAAAGAUACCUAAAUCUAAACAUCACAUACCUCCAAAAUGAGGAGCAUUCUAUAAAAAAAUUGGCUUUUAAAAUAUUAAUGUCAUGAAAGAUAAAGUAUGCUGAGGGGAUAUUCCAGAUUAAAGGAGAUGGAUGAACAUAGCUAAAUACAAUGCAAGGUUGAGGGGUUUCUCUAAAAGAAGUUAUUGGGAUAAUUGGCAAAAUUGGAUACUUGUUAUGGUAAUGAUGUUGCCUUUUCUGAUUUUGAUCAUCACAGUGUACUAAUGUUAGGAAAAUGUCCUUGAUCUUAGACAGUUUUAAAAUGUAAAAAUAGCCUGGCAUUUUUGUGACACAUAUCUGUAAUCCAAGCACUAGGGGAGGUCAA